Molecule: ribosomal RNA, 463 nt
Filed under: uncultured bacterium
Lineage: Bacteria
Description: bacterial SSU rRNA
Rfam family: Bacterial small subunit ribosomal RNA
Source: RNAcentral
AGUGAACGCUGGCGGCAGGCCUAAUACAUGCAAGUCGAACGGCAGCACAGCAGAGCUUGCUCUGUGGGUGGCGAGUGGCGGACGGGUGAGGAAUACGUGGGAAUCUGCCCAGUCGUGGGGGAUAACGUAGGGAAACUUACGCUAAUACCGCAUGCGCCCUUCGGGGGAAAGCCGGGGACCUUCGGGCCUGGCGCGAUUGGAUGAGCCCACGUCGGAUUAGCUAGUUGGCGGGUAAAGGCCCACCAAGGCGACGAUCCGUAGCUGGUCUGAGAGGAUGAUCAGCCACACUGGAACUGAGACACGGUCCAGACUCCUACGGGAGCAGCAGUAGGGAAUAUUGGGACAAUGGGGCGCAAGCCUGAUCCAGCCAUGCCGCGUGAGUGAAGAAGGCCCUCGGGUUGUAAAGCUCUUUUGUCCGGUAAGAAAAGCGCCGGGUUAAUACCCUAGGUGUCCUGACGGUACC